Molecule: long non-coding RNA, 2140 nt
Organism: Melospiza georgiana
Lineage: Eukaryota; Metazoa; Chordata; Aves; Passeriformes; Passerellidae
Exons: 2
Source: RefSeq, a predicted model, not a curated record
GGCUCGGGUGCGUGCCCGCCGUGUGUCACAUCGGUGCACUUGCUGUGUGAACGCGGGUCUGCACGCCGCCCACGGCACGUAGGCCUGUAAUAUCUGCGUGUAUGCACAGAAUUUGACGUACCACAGAAUCGUUAGGGGUUGGGAGGCACCUCUGGAGAUCAUCUCGACCUACUCUCCUGCCAAGACAGAGUCACCUGGAUCAGGCAAAUGUGAGAAGACCACUUCCCACUGGUCUCAGAUUAUAUGCAGGACAGUGGCUGAGGAUUGGAUUAGCAAAGCAACACAAGCUUAGAGACCACUAAGAGCAGUCUUCCAACUUUUCUUCUGUCAGCAUCAUCUUCCCACCAGCACUUUCCAGAAAAUACUUGUUUUCUGCUUUAAUUCAUCGUACAUCUUUUCUGUUUUAAUUCGUUGUACAUCUCAAAAGAGGGCUCAUAUGGGACCUCUGACCCCCUAUGCCCUCCUGCAGACACUCAUCAUCUCUAACUGCAGUGUGUUGAACAUCGAUGCAGGUGCCCUGGUUUGUAAAUCCUUGCUGGAGGCUGCACUGCUUUAAUUAAGACUGCUUAGUGCCUAGAAAAAGCAAUUUGUUUCAGCAUUCAGUUCUAAACAGUUGACUUAGCUAUACAGUCUUAGAUAUGUAGUUUAAAUAUAUGUGCAAUUUUUUCUUUAGUAAAAGGUGUCUGGGGAAGGAGAAGGCAAGUUAUAGCUAGAGUAUAUAUGGCUCAGUACUAAUUUUAAAUAACAAAGGACAAGAAAAGAAAUGCACAGUUUUUAUAUUGUGUAGUGCAUGUUUUGGCCUUUUGCCCAGGGACAAGUUAUGCUAGGAUUAAAAUACCCAUGCUGCUAUUAUUUUUGUUUGUUACCUCUAUUAUUAGUCUUCAGCAGCUAUGUAAAAUUGUUUCCUAUGAGAAAGGUACUAAAUAUACCUUUGGAUAAAAGCAGAGCAUUAGAAUAUUUUGUUUGGAUUUAUACUUCAGUGAGCUUCAUCAAUAUAAACCACAGCAAAUCUUUGCAAAAAAAAAAAAAAUUGGCAAGGCCUUUUCUGCUCUGUUGGGAGAAUGGGUUGAAAAGCAGAAGACAGCUGGGAGUAGCUCUUGGUAAGACUGUGUGAACAGCAGACCUGUCAUCCUGGUAUAUGGACUGAGUUUAACAGUGCCUGCUCUCCACUUGUUUAGCCCAGGUGUUGCUUUAGGGCUCCUCCAGUUAGCAUGAUAAUGGACAUAAAUUCACUCUUUGUGCCUUAGCCUUUGGUUUGUGCCUGUCCCAGCUGUCUGCCAGUGGUGGCUCACACACUCCCUCCUCCCACAGACUGCUAAAUUUUAUUUCAGUAAGGAAAAAUAAAAACAACAUUAAAAGAAAAUGAAAGUCCAAGUCAAAUCUUCAAACCAAUCUGAACUCAAUAAAUGCUGGCUGCCUUUAACUUCUCCAAUGUGUGUCCUUCCCACACAGGCUGCAGUACUUCAAGAACUGCUCCAGAGUGGAGCCCUUCCAGGGGUCCAGGGCUCAUGGCAGGAGCCUGCUCCAGAACAGGAUUCUGAUGGGAUCACAUGUGCCUUUGGACAUCCACCUGCCCCAGCAUGGGAUCCUCCAUGGGCUGUCAGUGGUUCUGUGCUCUACAGUGGACUCCUCCCCAGGUCACAGUCGCUUAUACUCAAGUUCACAUUGGAGUUCCAGCCUGUCCAAUGUGACAGCACAGGAGCACAGAUUGCCCUGGGCACCCUCCAGCCCAGGCACGUUGACAUGGCUGUCUCCAAAGUGUUCCAGGCACAAAUGCCAAGGUGACCACCAGUGUAGCCAGAAGCAAAAUCAGAGCAGCCACUAACAAGCACUGGGUUCCAACAGGCAGACAGGAAAAGGAGCCCCAUGGCAAGCACAGUAGCCUGCCAGUUAAUAGCUAAACAGCAGCAACAGCUACAAAUUCAUUGUAGCACAUUCAGUGAAAUCUGCCCCUUCAUGCACUACACUGGGUGCUAAAACAACUGGUAUGGUAUAACUGCAGCUGUUCUUUCUUUCAUUUUAAUCACUUGUUUUUCUGGAAUUUUAUUUUGUCUCUCCUUGUUUUGUCUUCAUUUCACCUUGCAAUUCAUUAUUAUUUCUACUAUUACUAUUUCUAACCUAUUAAACUGCUGUUAGUUAC